GAUAAACGCUGGCGGCGCACAUAAGACAUGCAAGUUGAACGGACUUAAUCGAAAUAUUUAUAUUUUGAAGCGGUUAGUGGCGGACUGGUGAGUAACGCGUAAGGAACCUGCCUAUUAGAGGGGAAUAACAGUGAGAAAUCAUUGCUAAUACCGCAUAUGCCAUAGAUAUCACAUGAUAACAGUGGGAAAGGAGCAAUCCGCUAAUAGAUGGCCUUGCGUCUGAUUAGAUAGUUGGUGGGGUAACGGCCUACCAAGUCGACGAUCAGUAGCCGGACUGAGAGGUUGAACGGCCACCUUGGGACUGAGAUACCGCCCAGGCUCCUUCGGGAGGCAGCAGUUGGGGAUAUUGCGCAAUGGAGGAAACUCUGACGCAGUGACGCCGCGUAUAGGAAGAAGGUUUUCGGAUUGUAAACUAUUGUCGUUAGGGAAGAGAAAGGACAGUACCUAAGGAGGAAGCUCCGGCUAACUACGUG
This 473-nucleotide ribosomal RNA is filed under the name uncultured bacterium. RNAcentral describes it as "partial 16S ribosomal RNA". It matches the Rfam family "Bacterial small subunit ribosomal RNA", at positions 28 to 507 of the family's 1533-position model. The record is from RNAcentral.